RNAcentral lists this unclassified non-coding RNA (330 nucleotides) under soil metagenome. Its description in RNAcentral is "partial contains 5.8S ribosomal RNA, internal transcribed spacer 2, and large subunit ribosomal RNA". The stretch from base 1 to 120 matches the Rfam family "5.8S ribosomal RNA", at positions 35 to 154 of the family's 154-position model. The record is from RNAcentral.
GAUGAAGAACGUAGCGAAAUGCGAUACGUAAUGUGAAUUGCAGAUUUUAGUGAAUCAUCGAAUCUUUGAACGCACAUUGCGCCCGCCAGUAUUCUGGCGGGCAUGCCUGUUCGAGCGUCAUUACAACCAUCAAGCCUUCGCUUGUGUUGGGGCCCCGCGGCUGCCGCGGCCCCCUAAAUCCAGUGGCGGGCUCGUCGUCGUACCGAGCGCAGUAGACAUCCUCGCUCCGGGAACCCGACGGGUGCCGGCCGUGAAACCCCCCCCCAUCAAGGUUGACCUCGGAUCAGGUAGGAAUACCCGCUGAACUUAAGCAUAUCAAUAAGCGGAGGA